UGAGGAAUAUUGCCCAAUGGACGCAAGUCUGAGGCAGCAACGCCGCGUGGAGGAUGAAGGUCUUUGGAUUGUAAACUCCUUUUUUCAGGGAAGAGUGAGGACGGUACCUGAAGAAUAAGUCACGGCUAACUACGUGCCAGCAGCCGCGGUAAUACGUAGGUGGCAAGCGUUAUCCGGAAUUACUGGGCGUAAAGCGCACGCAGGCGGCUCUUUAAGUUUGACGUGAAAGCUCCCGGCUUAACUGGGAGCGGUCGUUGAAAACUGGAGGGCUUGAGGCAGUGAGAGGGGUGUAGACUUCCCGGUGUAGUGGUGGAAUGCGUAGAUAUCGGGAGGAAUACCAGUGGCGAAAGCGGCACCCUAGCCUUAUGCUGACGCUCAUGUGCGAAAGCGUGGGGUGCGAACGGG
Molecule: ribosomal RNA, 405 nt
Filed under: Bacillota bacterium
Lineage: Bacteria; Bacillati; Bacillota
Description: Firmicutes bacterium partial 16S ribosomal RNA
Rfam family: Bacterial small subunit ribosomal RNA
Source: RNAcentral